Molecule: ribosomal RNA, 252 nt
Filed under: uncultured bacterium
Lineage: Bacteria
Description: partial 16S ribosomal RNA
Rfam family: Bacterial small subunit ribosomal RNA
Source: RNAcentral
UACAGAGGUCUCAAGCGUUGUUCGGAUUCAUUGGGCGUAAAGGGUGCGUAGGUGGCGGGGUAAGUCAGGUGUGAAAUCUCGGAGCUCAACUCCGAAACUGCACUUGAUACUGCCUUGCUGGAGUACUGGAGAGGAGAUUGGAAUUUACGGUGUAGCAGUGAAAUGCGUAGAUAUCGUAAGGAAGACCAGUGGCGAAGGCGAAUCUCUGGACAGUUACUGACACUGAGGCACGAAGGCCAGGGGAGCAAACGG